UGAACAGUAUGUAACGCUUUGAAAAAAAAAAAAAAAAAUGGAGCAGCAGAGCGUGAUGAAUGGAGAGCAAUGAGUCGGUGAUUAACCGCUCCUCCUCGCUGGGGACUGCAACUCCCCUCCGAGACCAUUCUGAU
Molecule: small nucleolar RNA, 134 nt
Organism: Polyodon spathula (Mississippi paddlefish)
Lineage: Eukaryota; Metazoa; Chordata; Actinopteri; Acipenseriformes; Polyodontidae
Product: U8 small nucleolar RNA
Exons: 1
Source: RefSeq, a predicted model, not a curated record